GUUUUCCCAGCCACCUCCUCUACAGCAUUACCACUUGACUGGUACAAUCCAAGUGGCCCAAAGGAUAGACCGAGAUGCAGGUGAAUUGAGACAAAAUCCCACCAUUUCCCUGGAAGUUCUAGUGAAGGACAGACCAUAUGGGGGUCAGGAGAAUCGCAUCCAGAUAACCUUCAUUGUGGAAGACGUCAACGACAAUCCUGCCACAUGCCAAAAGUUCACCUUCAGGUAUGCACACUUUGAAACUUGGGCUGGACAUCCUACUUCUUUGGUGGCCCUCUGCCCUUUUGCUUCUCUGGUAUAUUCUCAGGAGAAUUAUAAGCAUUUGGAGAAACAGCUCAGUAGAAUAAAUCGAUGUGAACUGU
RNAcentral lists this small RNA (362 nucleotides) under Pongo abelii (Sumatran orangutan). Its description in RNAcentral is "retained intron". Lineage: Eukaryota; Metazoa; Chordata; Mammalia; Primates; Hominidae. The record is from RNAcentral.